AACACUUCAUUUGUCUAUUUGUGCCAGUAUUACGUCAUCUGGAAAAAUAGGGGAGAUAAAGUUACCGGAAACAGCAGAAAACUAGCAGUUUUUGGGAAAGUAACUGGUCACACUAGCAUAGUCAAAAUGUCAUUGUCACGUUGCGGCGCGGCGUUGCCGAUUCUGUCACUUGCAUUUGUGAAACUAUUAGUGCCUAGUGGUGUACGGGCCUAUAGUGGUAGUGCCAGUGUAUCUAAUAAGAACAUCGUCUUCACAAGCACUAAAAAGAUGUUCAUCUCUGAGGAGCGUGGUUCUGCCUACGCGCCAGAUUUCCGGGUAUACUUCAAGGAUGAAUGCGGCCCCAUUUCACCGCUGCACGACAUUCCACUAUGGGCCGACAAGGAACACCGUAUUGCCAACAUGAUCGUCGAGGUGCCUCGCUGGUCAAACGCCAAGAUGGAGCUUAGUCUUACUGAACCCCUGAACCCCAUUAAGCAAGACGUCAAGAAAGGCGCCCUGAGAUUCGUAGCCAACGUCUUUCCUCAUCACGGUUACAUCUGGAACUACGGAGCGUUGCCCCAGACGUGGGAGAACCCCCAGCACAUAGAUGGGGGCACCCAGGCGCGGGGGGACAACGACCCCAUUGACGUCAUCGAGAUCGGGUCCCGGGUAGCGUCGCGGGGUGACGUCAUUCAGGUCAAAAUCGUCGGCACGAUAGCUUUAAUUGAUGAAGGCGAGACCGACUGGAAGCUAGUGGCUAUUGACAAGCGGGACCCCUUGGCCAAUGAUAUCAACGACAUUCCUGAUGUCGAGGCAACCUUCCCUGGACUCCUGAAGGCCACAGUGGAGUGGUUCCGGCUGUACAAAGUACCUGAUGGCAAGCCACCGAAUCAAUUUGCCUUCAACGGGGAAGCCAAGAACGCAGAGUUCGCGCAUAAGAUUGUUGAUGAGGUCCAUGAAUUCUGGCGUGGUCUGAUUAACGGCGAUGGCAGCGAAGGUGCUGAUAUCAACAAAAUGAACGUGAGCGUGGAGAACAGUCCGUACCGCGUGGAGCGCGCCGAGGCCAGCAAGCUGCUGGCCGCCGCCCCGCCGCGGUCGCUUCCCCAACAACAGCCGCCAUACGUGGACAAGUGGCACUUCCUCUCCAACAUUUAAAGUGCCUUAGCCGCCAUACUACAGCCGUAGCUUCACCCUUCGUGUCUCGACAAAUAUUCACUCUAGCAACACUUGAUGUUAUUUAUUUAUUUAAUUUUCU
This 1234-nucleotide unclassified non-coding RNA is filed under the name Pectinophora gossypiella (pink bollworm). Its description in RNAcentral is "inorganic pyrophosphatase". The record is from RNAcentral. Lineage: Eukaryota; Metazoa; Arthropoda; Insecta; Lepidoptera; Gelechiidae.